This 413-nucleotide ribosomal RNA is filed under the name uncultured bacterium. Its description in RNAcentral is "bacterial SSU rRNA". It matches the Rfam family "Bacterial small subunit ribosomal RNA", at positions 30 to 443 of the family's 1533-position model. The record is from RNAcentral.
AUUGAACGCUGGCGGCAUGCCUUACACAUGCAAGUCGAACGGCAGCACGGGAGCAAUCCUGGUGGCGAGUGGCGAACGGGUGAGUAAUAUAUCGGAACGUGCCCAGUCGUGGGGAUAACGUAGCGAAAGCUACGCUAAUACCGCAUACGAUCUAUGGAUGAAAGCGGGGGAUCGCAAGACCUCGCGCGAUUGGAGCGGCCGAUAUCAGAUUAGGUAGUUGGUGAGGUAAAGGCUCGCCAAGCCGACGAUCUGUAGCUGGUCUGAGAGGACGACCAGCCACACUGGGACUGAGACACGGCCCAGACUCCUACGGGAGGCAGCAGUGGGGAAUUUUGGGACAAUGGGCGCAAGCCUGAUCCAGCAAUGCCGCGUGCAGGAUGAAGGCCUUCGGUUGUAACGUAGCUUUGUUACGG